UCAAGUAUGUUAUUUGAAUUUUUUGAAAGUUCAUGUGUGUUUUAGCACGGCCAUAUAAGUCGGUUAUGAAUUGAACAUAUUGCAAUAUGUUGGGUAUGAAAUAUGAAAUGACAUUCCCGAUAAUGGUUUAUAACUCAUUCAAAUCCUAUGCUAGUGCCCCCAACUAGUUCAAAUUCUAUGAUGGUGCCCCCAUCUAUAAACUCUCCUAGAUCUGCCACUGAUUAUAACAAAUCCGUCGAGCCCAUCUGCAAUUUUGCUUGAAUAUAUAAAUAGAAAAUUUGGAAUGCAUCUAAGUAUCCUAAGUUCCUAACGUAACUCAUCCCAAGAUACAUGACCAUGGUGACAGUGGAUAGAGAGACCUAUGGCUCAGCGCGUAAACUUAGACCAUGCACGCAUAAGAUAAUUCGGGAUACUUGUGCACCGGAUAGCUCAGCAUGCAAUAUUGAUACCUUUGAAAAACUUGCACCACUGUAAGAAAAAAAAAACAUUUUCUCAACAAAAAGGCUUACAGCAACAUUAUAGAACACUAAAAUCAAUACAUAUAUAGUACCAUACAAGUUUUUCAAGUAUGACAAAUUUGUUUACUUAACAACUUAUAUCUUUCUUAUUAUUUCCCGGUUUGUAAGAUGAUAUAUCUUUUAUACAUGUGUUGACAAAUACUUAUAUGAAUAAUAUUGAUUGAAAACUGAAACAAAUUUUGAAAAGUGUUUUCCAUUUUCUGGUAAUUGAUAUACAUUUCAAGUGGGUUUUCUUUUCACAGUCAACUUGAGUUUUGUUGUGAAUCUUGUGAUAUGAGAGCCGUCCAAAAUAUUUUUUUUUUUUUUGGUAAAAUGUUAAGCUUACCAUUUUCUGAAAGAAGGAUAUACUGUUGUUGUUAAACAACUUAUUACAAGAGAAGAACAGAGAAGCAGAAAAGAAAGACAAAGGAAACAGACUAAACAACAACAAUCAAAAUAAGAGAAAGCGACACUAAGGUGGAAAG
Molecule: long non-coding RNA, 982 nt
Filed under: Brassica napus (rape)
Lineage: Eukaryota; Viridiplantae; Streptophyta; Magnoliopsida; Brassicales; Brassicaceae
Description: long non-coding RNA (BNAP_LNC023512)
Source: RNAcentral